GGGGGAUUAUAUUCGGGGGACUUAUAAUCGGAGGUUUACGAUACUUAAAUUACCGGCCAUAUGAAGGUUGAAAGUUAUAAAUUAGCAGAAACUGACAUGUUGAAUUAGCAGAAUUGACAAUACACGGACGAAAUAAAAGCAAAAAAGGAUUGACUUACCAAAUCGGUGUAAUUCUUCUUGCAAACUAUACAGACAGGAGGUAACACGUGCUCGUUCCUUGAUCUAGUAGCACUAGUGGACGCCGCUAAACUUGAUCGGAAAACUUUCUUCGGGAUAGGAUCACUACUGCCUUGGUCAACCGAUGCCGAUGGGAUUUGAUCUCUUUUUCAGCUUUUUUGCGCCUUGCUUCAGCAUGAUUUAAUAGGGUUUUAUUGGUAAAUGCUGCAUGAAUAGCAUUUGCGAUGAAACGCCAACUCUUUAAAAUUUUCAUAGCGAUCUUCUUCCUCGAUGCUUAUAAUUUGAGUUGUACGUAAUGCUAUGUCUUUCUGACGGCCGUCAAGUUGUAUCCAUUGCUUCCGGCAUUCCAGAAAUCUUUCGAAUGAAACCUCUGUAAAAUUUGUAAGUGGCCCGACACUGUCUUCGCAAUAAAUUAAACAUGUAUUUCCCAAUUCUGCCAUGUUCAGUCGGCCAUGACAAAACCCUCUUUGUUAAGAGGAGAUUUUUUGGUAUGUUACGUAACACGCGCUCAAAAUUAAUGCGUACAAUAUACCACUUGAGGUUAUGACUAAAUUUAGUGCUUUAUCUGUAACAUAAUGCUAAAAUGAAGAGAUUUUAGAUGAUACGCCGAAGAGAAAAUUAUGUCUGAAGUUCAGUAAGUUUUGCAGUUAUAUGGCUGUAAAUAUGGCGUCAAUUUUAAAGCAUCAUUGAUAAUUUAUUUUACUUGACAAUUUUUAACUAUUAUUUUAUGUUUCUCAACCGGCAGACGCAUUUAAAAAGGUAGCUAACUCUAUAAACUAGAGAAUAAAGCUAAAACAAAGUAAUUUUGAGAGGAACGCCAAAAAGAUUUUAGGUUUUGAACACUUUUCAUUGCAAAUACGUGACAUUGAAAAAAAUUGCCUCUUAAUAUUAUUACAUAAAGUUUCCAAUAGUGAGCACCUUUUCAAUGCAUCUUACAUCAAGUUUCCAGGGAAACAAAAUGGCGGGUUUCGAAUUUCGAGGAGCGCCAAUUGUUGAAAUUCAAACGCAAAUUUAUGAAAAAUUGCAGGUUUAUAGAAGUGCCAACAAGCAGAA
Molecule: non-coding RNA, 1230 nt
Organism: Paramuricea clavata
Lineage: Eukaryota; Metazoa; Cnidaria; Anthozoa; Malacalcyonacea; Plexauridae
Source: the annotation of a GenBank genome assembly